CUCAGAAGUAAAAGGUUUGAG
This 21-nucleotide non-coding RNA is filed under the name Arabidopsis thaliana (thale cress). Lineage: Eukaryota; Viridiplantae; Streptophyta; Magnoliopsida; Brassicales; Brassicaceae. The record is from RNAcentral.